This 366-nucleotide ribosomal RNA is filed under the name Triticum aestivum (bread wheat). Its description in RNAcentral is "partial small subunit ribosomal RNA". The record is from RNAcentral. Lineage: Eukaryota; Viridiplantae; Streptophyta; Magnoliopsida; Poales; Poaceae.
AUGCCCCUUUCAUACCAUUCCAACUCAAAUCAAAGCUUGUGUAUGCACUUGAUAUUCGCAAUGAGACUUGAGAGAACUUCCGUAUGCACUGAAGUUUUCUCUAAUAUAGAUUUUUCAAAUAAUAUUGAGUGGACAUAUAGAAGAAAGCUUGUGUAUGCACUGAAGUCUCAAAACAUGUCACCACUUGUAGAUGUCUACGUGCUGCCACCUCCACUUUUAUCCCAGCUUUUUGCGCUCACAGAUGUGGCAUGUUAUAUCGGCCAAUGCUAUCAUGAUAGGAACCUAUAUGAACACAAGUUUUUGUAUAUACCCUUUUUGCAUCCGAGUUUUGUAGCGACAUCACAGAACCUUGUGGACAAGAUCUGA